This 135-nucleotide ribosomal RNA is filed under the name uncultured bacterium. Its description in RNAcentral is "partial 16S ribosomal RNA". It matches the Rfam family "Bacterial small subunit ribosomal RNA", at positions 355 to 507 of the family's 1533-position model. The record is from RNAcentral.
UGGGGAAUUUUGCGCAAUGGGCGACAGCCUGACGCAGCAACGCCGCGUGAGUGAAGAAGGCCUUUGGGUCGUAAAGCUCUUUUCCGGGGGACGAGGCUGACGGUACCCCGGGAAUAAGCACCGGCCAACUCUGUG